UAGUGGCGAACGGGUGAGUAACACGUGAGUAACCUGCCCUUAACUCUGGGAUAAGCCUGGGAAACUGGGUCUAAUACCGGAUAUGACUCCUCAUCGCAUGGUGGGGGGUGGAAAGCUUUUUGUGGUUUUGGAUGGACUCGCGGCCUAUCAGCUUGUUGGUGAGGUAAUGGCUCACCAAGGCGACGACGGGUAGCCGGCCUGAGAGGGUGACCGGCCACACUGGGACUGAGACACGGCCCAGACUCCUACGGGAGGCAGCAGUGGGGAAUAUUGCACAAUGGGCGAAAGCCUGAUGCAGCGACGCCGCGUGAGGGAUGACGGCCUUCGGGUUGUAAACCUCUUUCAGUAGGGAAGAAGCGAAAGUGACGGUACCUGCAGAAGAAGCGCCGGCUAACUACGUGCCAGCAGCCGCGGUAAUACGUAGGGCGCAAGCGUUAUCCGGAAUUAUUGGGCGUAAAGAGCUCGUAGGCGGUUUGUCGCGUCUGCUGUGAAAGACCGGGGCUCAACUCCGGUUCUGCAGUGGGUACGGGCAGACUAGAGUGAUGUAGGGGAGACUGGAAUUCCUGGUGUAGCGGUGAAAUGCGCAGAUAUCAGGAGGAACACCGAUGGCGAAGGCAGGUCUCUGGGCAUUAACUGACGCUGAGGAGCGAAAGCAUGGGGAGCGAACAGGAUUAGAUACCCUGGUAGUCCAUGCCGUAAACGUUGGGCACUAGGUGUGGGGGACAUUCCACGUUUUCCGCGCCGUAGCUAACGCAUUAAGUGCCCCGCCUGGGGAGUACGGCCGCAAGGCUAAAACUCAAAGGAAUUGACGGGGGCCCGCACAAGCGGCGGAGCAUGCGGAUUAAUUCGAUGCAACGCGAAGAACCUUACCAAGGCUUGACAUGGACCGGAUCGCUGCAGAAAUGUGGUUUCCCCUUUGGGGUCGGUUCACAGGUGGUGCAUGGUUGUCGUCAGCUCGUGUCGUGAGAUGUUGGGUUAAGUCCCGCAACGAGCGCAACCCUCGUUCUAUGUUGCCAGCACGUGAUGGUGGGGACUCAUAGGAGACUGCCGGGGUCAACUCGGAGGAAGGUGGGGACGACGUCAAAUCAUCAUGCCCCUUAUGUCUUGGGCUUCACGCAUGCUACAAUGGCCGGUACAAAGGGUUGCGAUACUGUGAGGUGGAGCUAAUCCCAAAAAGCCGGUCUCAGUUCGGAUUGGGGUCUGCAACUCGACCCCAUGAAGUCGGAGUCGCUAGUAAUCGCAGAUCAGCAACGCUGCGGUGAAUACGUUCCCGGGCCUUGUACACACCGCCCGUCAAGUCACGAAAGUUGGUAACAC
RNAcentral lists this ribosomal RNA (1317 nucleotides) under Arthrobacter sp. RNAcentral describes it as "bacterial SSU rRNA". It matches the Rfam family "Bacterial small subunit ribosomal RNA", at positions 93 to 1420 of the family's 1533-position model. Lineage: Bacteria; Bacillati; Actinomycetota; Actinomycetes; Micrococcales; Micrococcaceae. The record is from RNAcentral.